UACAAGUGUUGAAGAUGAGGAACACGCAGUAGACACUAAAUAUAAAUGUAACAUCUGUUUUUGGUUAUCUGUUUUUCUUUUCCUUUUUUCUUUAAAUUAUUUUUUUUUCGUAGACAAAUAACAAGAAGCUGUAAAACAUCUACCAAAAUUUCUGAAACGUUCUUCGUGCAUUGAUGAAACUUAAGCAGUUAAACACAGGUCUUUAGAUAGAUCUUUGGAUUUGACAAAUCAUGAAAACAAUAUCCCAAAUCUUUCAACUAGCAGUACACUUGGAAAAGUUUUUGGAACUAAUUUUGUAGAGGAAUUUAGUAGUACUUUUCCACCUCAAAAGGACGGAGUUUCUUAUGAAAUAAAUAAAUUUUCACUUUCAGAUGCAGAGUUUCAAUUCAAACUAUUUCGCUAUUGACAAAAAUAAGAAAUGCAUUUGUCAGCAAAAAAGACAAAAAGUUUAUUCUUAGUGAAUCAGUAAAAAGACUAGAAACUUUAAUUGAAGUUAAAGAGUUUGAUCGUAAAAUAAAAUAAGAAAAAUCUUCUUAUUUAGAAUUGGUUGAGAAAUUAUCUAAAAUUGGUGAACUAAGUGUAAAAGAAGCUGUUAAAAAUAUAUUUAAAAGGUUGCUAAUUUUUUAGCAUAUUGUUGUAUUGAAAAUAUAUUUAUAAACAUUUUUUGCGAAAACAGUAAAUUUAAAUAUAAAUGUUUAAUGUGCGUGAAUACUACACAUUCUGUCGUGUGUUAUUUUGUUUGUAGUGUUUUUUAGCUAUGAAGCUUUGGCCCUUUUUAAUAUGAAGGGACAAAAUAAAAGGAGAGCAAUAUCAAGCGGCCCAAAAAGUCUUCAUUUCAACAACUAAAGUUGUGUGAGGUUGUGACAGAUGCUGUUCUUAUCAUCCAUGGAGACACUACACAAGAUCAUGUUAAAAAAGAAAUUAUGCAUGUUUUAAAAUAUGGUCUCGAAAAAGCAGGUCAAGGUCGUCGGAGAUCAUCAAUUGUUGCUUCAUCUAAUUACCCUUGUGCAAACAAUGAAACAUCAGGUUAUGUUUCGGAAUCGGAAUGAUUUGUAAUAAUAAUGUUUGGGGAAUAUCCAUGUAUAUACAUUUGUAGAGUUGUUAUUAGA
Hydra vulgaris (swiftwater hydra) is the source of this 1109-nucleotide long non-coding RNA. RefSeq lists it as uncharacterized. The record is from RefSeq and is a predicted model, not a curated record. NCBI's taxonomy places the organism in Eukaryota, Metazoa, Cnidaria, Hydrozoa, Anthoathecata, Hydridae.